Callithrix jacchus (white-tufted-ear marmoset) is the source of this 9986-nucleotide long non-coding RNA. RefSeq lists it as uncharacterized. The record is from RefSeq and is a predicted model, not a curated record. Lineage: Eukaryota; Metazoa; Chordata; Mammalia; Primates; Cebidae.
GGAUUGAGUUUUUUGGUUUGAUUUCCUAAAAUGUAUCUUUGACACUGACUCUUUUGCAGCCUUUCAAGAGGGAGAUGUUCGGCAGUGUUUUGGAACCUGGUAUGAAUCUAUACGUUGUCUGCUUGCCACAAUGUUUGAUGCUUCUUCGAGUUCUAAUUCUUAUUCCUAAUUAUUAAAUGACUGUUCCUGAUAAUGAAGUGGGAAUAAGAAUUAUAAUAAAAUAAUCCCAACAAAAGGCCAUCUUUAACUUAUGAUUUCUGAUUAUAUCAGCCUCCAAUUACCAAUAAAAUAUUCUGGCAGACUAUUGAGACAUGAAUUGCAGAGCUGUAAUCAAGAGACUCACUUGAUUCAAGAAAAUUCAGAAUUUAGAGCAGCCUGUUCUCCAAAAAGGUCAUUUUGUGAUCCAAGAAUUCAGCAGAAAUGCCAAUCAUCAAAAAGAAUAAGAUGAAAGAGUGAAAAGGCAACCUCAAGGAUGUCCCACACAAGACUUCUGCUAACAUAUCUUCACCCAGAUUUUAAUCAUUUGGCCAUGAAAACUGUAAGGCAGGCUGGGAAACUGUUCUUUUUUAGUCCUAUGGCUAUAUGCCCAGCUGGUAAGUGGAGAUCUCUUACUAAGAGCUGAAGAGAAAAUGAAUGUUCAAGGUAAAGGCUAUCCAUACUCUGUUACUGGUUAUUUUUGGUUUAAAUUCAUUUUCUUAAAAGAAUUAUUUGUGUCUUAUUAUUGUUGUUUAGUUUCUCUGGAUACUAGAUGUUUUUACUUUUUAUGUCCUUUUAUUUCAAAUUAUAAACCUUUUUCUUCUCACUAAAACUCGAUCUUACCUAAAUAGUAUCAAAUAUUAAUGUAUAGAAUAUUUUGGUUUUGCAUGCUUUUGGCUUUGCAUGUGUAAUUUUUACACUAUAAAUAUAAAAAAAAUAGAUUUUAAAAUGUUUUCAUGCAUACAAUAUAAUUAUGUGAACAAUGUAACCUGAUGUCUGAAAUAAUGAAAUCUUCAUGUGACCGCGUCACUUAGUCAAUAAUAGUACAAAGUAGCAAAAAGUAAACUUUUGUCACCUUGAGAAUUUAUAGCUUCCAAAAUAUUUUAACCAGUAAGAAAUUCUGUGAUUUCCUUUUACAUAUUCCUGCACUCAAAGACUUAUAUCUCUUAAUAGAACAUAAUUCUGAAGAAAUUGUUGCUAAAAUUCUAUUCUAAAGCCAUCAACAUUAUAUAAAACGUCAGUGAAAAAUUUCAUUGUUAAACUGAAUGUUGUAUAACAUGCUUCAACCCUCUUCCAGUUGACACUGGGAUUUUGCAGCUUUACAAACAUCAGGAAGACAAAGUAUAGCUUCUGUUCCAAGAACUAUACUGACUGUUAGAUGAAUGUGAGUCUUUCUGAAGGAGUGCCAACUCACAAAUGUUCUUAGUGAGAGAGAUAAAGCAACAUCAUGAUAGAUUCAGUUGCUGACUGUGUUGACUCAAGAAAGCAAUUACCCACUUGCCCAAACAGGAAAUUUUUGGAAGAAAAAAAAAGAAUACAUGGUGCAAUUUUAGUUAAUGCAUUUUAUUUAUGUUUCUGGGAUACAAGCUUUCUUGUGUGUUAUUAUUUAUUAAUUUAUUUAAGUAGAUACUAGUUUCUGUUGUAUAAGCAAUAGAUAUGGAAAGGGUCUUACUUGCUUGAAUCUCCUGCCAAAGUUGAUCAACAACAUCAUACAGACCAUUUCUUGUCCCUUGUUUCUCAAUAGAUUUCAAAUUGUUGAAUUGCAACAUAAUCCACAAAGUCUUAAAGGAUUGCAUCAGUGCCAAGGAUCAAAACAUAUAAAGGAUGCAGAUGACACAAAGCUGGGAGACAUUGCCAAUAAAAACAAAGGUAGAAUCCAGAAUGAAAAUGAUUUGGUAAUCUCUUCAUUCCUAUUGAAAUUCAACAGGAAUUUAAAGCCCAGACUGUAUGCUAAAAACAACAAAUACAUAGAGAAGAAAUACAUUGGCAACUCUUUCACUGGAGGGGACAUCUGUGUUUAUACUGAUUGAUGAUGUGAUAAGGUUACAAUGCAUUUAAUAUAGUUUUAAAGUGUUUCAAAAGAAAAAAGGGAAUCAGGUUUUACAUGAAGUAAUAGAUACAGAAAAUAUGCUGCUAUUCAAAACAUAUCUGAAUUGUUUUGUUAAAUUAUCUGUUAUAUUUUUGGGUGUAUAGUGUCAACGUCUGUCUCUGCAGAGGAAACUAGCCAGCAUUACAUGAGACUCUAAAUCUCAUGUCAUUUGUGGAAGAGUUAAAGAGUCUCUUUCACCAUUACAAAUUAUAUGACACAUGCACUAACUUUCUGAAAUAUGAAUAUGUGAAAAUUCCAUGGUAAUAAAAGUUAAUAAAAAUGAAAGAGUUUCUUUACUGUAGGACAACUCAAUUUUUGAUGAAGUGCUUAAUGACAUUUUAAGGUGUUGAUAUAAUGAAAUAUUUUCCCAUAUUAUUGAACCACGGAAUUCUGCUGAACUUUUUUCUUUUUAAACUCUGGUCAAAAAAGAAUACACUGUAAGAAGAAAUGAUUGUUAUAAAGGAAGUAACGAAUUUGUUCUAUGUCCUGUUUCAAAGGGAUAACCAGGCAAGUUUAGGUUCAGUAUAAGAAAAAUAAAAGAUAUCUUUACAAUGUAUUCGAGAAGAGUGAAUGACUACCUACAGGUAGGAUGUAAGAAGAAUCCACAUGCAGCUGAGAGUGGGUGAGAUGACCUUUGAAGUUAAUGUCCACACUUUCAAAGGAAUAAACUUUGCUCCAGAAAGCACUACCUACUGCCAUCUGUAAAAGAGACCUCUGGAGAUACCGUGAUCCUAGAUUUCGGAAGUCCUCAAGACCUGUGACUCCGUCUUCCAGAAUAUACAUUGAAAGAGGCCAAUUGUCCUUGCUUUCAUUAUGACCUCAUACUAUGUUGCUGAGACGGGAAUAACAGGAUGGUUGCAGGAGAUUAGAAAAUGUCAGGCAGCAGUUUCACAUGACUAGUAAAAUAGCUUUUUGAAAUAGCUGCAGAAACUUUAUGUUGAUAAAACCCUAAAAACUCAAUAUGAACCAAGCUGGACAAGACCAAGUGGACUCAAGAUGGCAUUGGAUUUGACCUAGACUUCACCUAGAACCUCAUUACACAAAUCACACAGCCACCAGUGCCCUGACGGUUCCAGGAACACCUAUAUUUGGUAUAAAAAUGAAUGGUACUAUGGUGCCACUUUUUUCCAAUUUUCUAAUUAUUUUCAUGGAUAUUCCACAUCUUGGUAAAAGAAACUCAUAAAAGUAGCAACCCCAAAACCUCUUGAGCAUGACUCUCUUGAGUAUGCCCACACUUCCUUUUCUUUUUCUUCCUUCCUUCCUUCCUUCUUUUUCUUUCUUUCUUUCUUCUUUUUCUUUUCUUUCUUUUUCUUUCUCUUUCUUUCUCUCUCUUUCUUGCUUUCAUUCUGUCUCUCUCUCUUUCUUCUUUCUUUCUUUUCUUCUUUUUUGAAAUGGGGAUUCACUCUUCUCGGCCAGGCUGGAAUGCAAUGCGUGAUCUCAACUCGCUGCAACAUCCACCUCCCGGGUUCAAGUGAUUCUCCUGCCUCAGUCUCCCGAGUUGCUGGAAUUACAGGUUUGAGCCCCCAACCCUGGUUAAUUUUGUAUUUUCAGUAGAGACAGGGUUUCAACAUGUUGGUCAGGCUUGUCUCAAACUCCUGACCUCAGGUGUUCCACCCAACUCAGCCUCCCAAACUGCUGGAAAUACAGGCAGAAGCAACCACAGCUGGCCUCUUUUCUUGAGUGUGUACUUUUCCCUUUGCCGUGUUUUUACUUUCACAAUUUACCAACUCAUCCUUAAGUUUAUUCUUAUGAAGGUGACAAGAGCCUGGACACUGCUUCCCACUGCACUCUAUUCUUUCUACACACGAUAGCUAGAGUAAAAUUUGAAAACUUUAAAACAGAUUACACUAUUGUCCUACACUAACCUCUUGCUAUACUGGCCUUCAUUCUGUUUCUGGAUCUUCUUAGGUUCUUAUUACUCUGCCUGGAGUAAAUCACCCCAGAAUGUUCUAAUAUCUUUACUGCAUUCAGAUCUAUGUUUAAACGUCACCUCUCCAAAGGCCUUUCUGUUCUACUCUAUAAAUAGUAACUUUGCCUUUUUGCAAACUUCCCUACAUUCCCCACUCCCAAACCCAGGUCAUUCUCUAUGAUUGCAUUUUGCUUUCUUUUAAAAACAUGUAUUUGCCAUGUUUUUGUUCUUUCUCCUACAAUGAAAUCAAAGCUCAAAAGGGCAGAGACCUUGUUGUCAUUUUAUUUAUAUAUCGUAGGACAGUACCUUGCAGAACAAAAUGCUAAAUAUUCCCUUUUUUUUUCAACAAAUAAGUAUAUAAAAGCAUGGAUCAUUUUCUAAAAUGUAAUUGGGAGUUAGUAAUAGAUUAUUUUUCCCUAACUAUAAAAUUACCAAAAUGACACCAUGUUACAGCCAAAUUAAAAUUGCUGUCAUUAAGCUAAAACAAAAAUAUGUGUUCUUCAAGUCAUUUUAAAGUAGCCUAUAUGGCACGUUAUUUUUUUUUAAUGUGAUUCAGAAUAUAAAAGAGGUAGUUAUUUACAACCCACAUUGCAAUAAGUUGCUAAGGUAACUACACUAUGGCUAAAGCAUUUCAUCACUUUAAUAAUUGUAUAGAUUUUCAGUAAGCAGCACACACAACAUAUUAAGUAAGAUGUAUCAUUGUGUAAAUUACUUUAGAAACUGAGCUGCAUAGCGCAUAUUUACAGGAGGUGCUUUUCAAGGACAUUACCUCAUAAGGAUGAAAAACUAAACAUGCCUAAAUAUUAAUAAAUAUGCCAUUCAUAAUACAAAGUUAUUUUAAAAUGCUUGUCUUCACAGUUUCAUAAAUUGAACAAUGUACAAAUUAAUAAUUUGAUCUAGGAUUUUGCCUAAUGCGCUAUGUCAAGGCUGAAAGCCGUCGAAGUGUCAUUGUGAAGAGUUCUUUAGAUUUUCUUACUAAAAACUAAAAAGCUUUCGUGCAUUAUUACCUAAGUGGUAGUUAUAAUUAUAAACCACACUAUAUACACGAGAAAACUGGAUAAAGAGACUUAGGUGAGUACUUUCCUUAGACAAUCUCACGACCUCAAAAUAGAGUCAGUAACAAAGUUUGGUGGUAUUAUUCCUAGAUCUGUGUUCUUAAUCAGUGUGAUAUUGUGUCUCUCUUUUAUUUACUUUCUUUACUAGAAACUCUGGAUACAAAUUAUUAUUUUCUUUAGAAUGUAAGUUGUUAGAGAUUCUGGAAAUUUCCUGGACAUGGAGUCAAUGUACCAGUCAAUAUGAUGAAGUAAGUCCACACUGCACUAUGAAUAGAGGAAGGGGAAAGGUCAGAGAAACUCUAGCAAAAGGCAUUUUAUGACAUUAGCAUCCUCUAGAAGUCCUGGUAUUUGCAUUGCCUGAGAUUAGGUUUCCUUUGCCUUUUGAGAAUUGACUUGACAGCUGUUAGGGUCCAACUGCUUAAGAUCCAUGCUCCAGUGACAUUAGUACUCAGUCUGUUGAAAAUAUAGAAAGUAUAUGUCCCUAACAGGCCUCACAUCAUCUCAUCUUAUGCAGAUGAGAAGUAAAUAGUGCUGCAUGUGUGCUCUGCCCAAGAAUUUCUAGAUCUGAGUUUGAGUUAAUAGAUUCCCAAGGAGACCAGGAACAAUCACCUGGGAAGCUCAAGUUAAGGACUUAGAUCAUCCAUCUUCCCUUCCAAUUUUUUUUCAAAGAAUUGAUUAAAACAACAACAGGAAGCAGCAGCAUUUAUCUUAAUUACAGUAACUAUUUGGACAAAUGUGACACUUAGGUAUCUACAUACUAAGGAUGAAAGUUCCUAAAGUGACUACUGGUUAAUCUUUUACUUAGUUCAUUUGAAUUGACAUUAGAUUUCUCAAUGAUAAUUCACUGCAUAUUUAAAAAUAUAAAAGGAAAGUAAGCACAGGCUUUUGAUUCCAAAUGAAAAACUUCUGGAGCUCACUUCUAGCAAGCAAUUUUGUAGAUGUUAAUGUUCCUCCAAUAUCUAAGGUAUCUAAAUAAUAUUAGCAAUUAUCUUUUGUCUAAAUAGCAUGUCACAAUUUUCCAACACAGUGAUAUCCAUUUUCUUACAGGAUUUUCAUAAUUCUUAAAGGUAGUAUUUUUAAUUGACAUUUUUACCCUGGAGAAAACAAACUCAAAGCCAAACUUGUAAGUGGAAAGGCUAAGACUGAUCAGAUUUUCUGACUGGCCUGCUUAUGUGUCUCUGGAAUUUCAUUGUAGUUCCAAAAAUUACUUAAGCAGUUUCUUUUUACCUAGAGACUUCAGCUGAUUUAAGGGACAACUAAGUAAUCAAUUGAUCUGUAUUUGCUAUAUAAGAUGCAUCAUAAAUAUAGCAGUCUAGUUGCAUUUAGUAAUGAACAAGUGGCAAUGGAUUAAGGAAAAAUGGAGUCUCACCUCAGUAACUAAACUAUGCAACUUUCAGCCAUUCAUGGCCUCGGUAUCCUUACAUGUAAAAUAAAAAGGGAAAACCAAAUGAUGUCCAAAGCCAUCAAUAACCUACUUUUAAAAUUAUGAUGUAAAUUAUAAUACUUGAUUAUUAGAAUAUUGCACAAUUUUUAUAUCUUAAUGUCUUUUCAGAGCAAUUAUACUAGAUAUUUUUCUGGAAGCUGGAGAUUUUUAUUUUCCCACAGAAACUCUCUCAUGUUCUCAAAAUUUCCAGGAUUAUAAUAACAGAAGUAAAUUGUUGCAUAAUUGUAUAGUAACAAGAAUUGUUGUCUGCUAUAGAGACUAUAAAUUCAUAGGUUUCUUUGUGAGAUAUUUUUACAUUUUGAAAACCUGAUAUGAGUCACUGUAUGUCUAGAUAUAAAUGAUUUGAUUUUGAUGAAAGCAGAGACAGUUCAAACAGGGAUAUUAACUUUUUGUUUUGGUUUUUCUUACUGACUGAGGAAUGCAAAGUUUUGGUGACUCAGGUUAGUCUGUAAAAUAAUAUAUUAGAGCCAAAUAUAAAGACAAAUAUAAGAGGCAUAUACCCUUCAUAUGUCUUAUGGCAGAGCACAAAUGCUCACUUGAGUUUUGGAAAUUUAAUCAAAACGAAUUGAACUACACAAUUCUGGAAUAUUCUAUCAAUUUAAGACUAAAAAAUAAAUUAUGAGUUCUAUUUCUAAUAUUUCUAAGUGAUGUCUAUAUAUUCACCCAUCCACCACCUACAUAUAGAACUUUCAUUGACAGUGUCAACAUUCUAUGUAAAAUUUUAGGAAGAGCAUACUUCGUUCUCAUGAGUACUUUUAAAGAAGACCUACUAAUUUUUUUCAAAUUGUACUUUAGGUUCUGGGUUAUAUGUGCAGAUCAUGCGGUAUUGUUGCAUAGGCACAUACAUGGCAAUGUGGUUUGCUGCCUCCAUUCCCCCAUCACCUAUAUCUGGCAUUUCUCCCAAUGUCAUCCCUCCCCAAUCUCCCCACCCCCUGCUGUCCCUCCCCUAGCAUCCCCCAACAGACCCCAGUGUGUAAUGUUCCUCUCCCUGUAUCCAUGUGUUCUCAGUUUUCGACAUCCAUCUAUGAGUCAGAACAAGCAGUGUCUGGUUUUCUGUUCUUGGGUCAGUUUGCUGAGAACGAUGGUUUCCAGAUUCAUCCAUGUCCCUACAAAGGACACAAACUCAUCAUUUUUUAUGGCUGCAUAGUAUUCCAUGGUGUAUAUGUGCUACAUUUUCCUUGUCCAGUCUAUCACUGAUGGGCAUUUGAGUUGGUUCCAGGUCUUUACUAUUGUAAACAGUGCCACAGUGAACAUACAUGUUCAUGUGUCUUUAUAAUAGAAAGAUUUCUAAUCCUUUGGGUAUACACCGAAUAAUGGGAUUGCUGGGUCAAUUGGAAUUUCAAUUUUUAGGUCCUUAAGGCAUUGCCACACUGUCUUCCACAAUGGUUGAACUAAUUUACACUCCUACCAAUAGUGUAAGUGUUCCUCUUUCUUGAUAUUCUCUCCUUCAUCUGUUGUCUCCAGAUUUUUUAAUGAUCGCCAUUCUAACUGGCUUGAGAUGGUAUCUCAAUGUGGUUUUGAUUUGCAUUUCUCUAAUGACCAGUGAUGAUGAGUAUUUUUUCAUAUGUUUUAAGGCCUACUAAUUUUAUGUAUUUUGUGACACUUUGGCAUAAUAUUGUUGAACAGGAAGGAUAAUGCCAAAUAUUAGCAAAAAAUUUUACUAAUUUCUUUGUAUCCCUAGAACCACAUGUUUAAGUAGCAUAAUGAAUAUAGAAAAUGAUUGUAUUAUAGUGGAAAGAACACUGGACAUGAAGAUAAAAAUCCUAAAUUUGAUGUCAUGUGUACAUUUCAUGAACUUCCUUUAUAGUCUUAUGUAAAGAAUAUUAUAUAUACCUCACGAGUCAGUUCUGUGUAUUAAAUAGAAAAAAAGUUAACCCUUAUACAAGACAAAGCUAUCGACAAAUACUGAGUAUUGUUCUUAAUACAGAUACAAGUAUAAAUAAGACAUAAGAACCUCCUAAAAAACUCCUCUUUACAUAAAAAAAAAUUCAAAUGCUAUUGAUCCUCCUCAUCUGUGUCUUUUUUCCAUAGGAAGGAUGGUUCUACAAGUAGAGGAAGAUAAGCAUCCUGAUAUUGUUUCAUAAGUCCCAAAGAUAGAAAAGUCUCCAUGGCUUGGUUUUCAUUACAGAAUUGUAUAUACAUAAAAUUUUUCUUCUUAAAGUAUUGAACACCAAUAUUGUGUUAAAUGAGAGAAUUCUGAUUCUCUCAAAUGGUCAAUUUGAUACAGAAUAUGUUUAGCACUAUGCCAGGAAAAAUCAACAAUAAUAUAAAACUAAUUUGUAGCAACUGCAGGUGUUCGUGGUGUUCUUACUAUAGCCAAUGCCAAGCCAACAGUUUGCCAUCAAUGAAAGUGUAGUUGGGAAGAAAAAAUUUGGGAGAAGAUGAUGAACAAUUAGUUAUCCAACCCAGUGCAACCUGGCUCCAGCAAACACCCAACUAGCAGGCCACUUAUAUUUAUUUUGGCAUCUAGUUAUUUUAACCAAAUACAAGAAGAAUCUUAGAGGUGCUUAUAUCUUGCUUUUAUUUAUAUAAGCUCCUAUUAUAUUUAAACCAGAAAUGUCACCUAUUUUGUCACAUAUUUUACGGGGAAACUGAAACAUUUAACACUACCAAGUUAAAAUAGUUUUGAAUUUAAAAUAUACUUCUCUUUCCUGUUUUCUCUGUUCCCAGAGAAAUAACAAGAAAUUAUUUGACUGUAAUUCUAGUUUCAGGAUUGCUCAGAAAAGAAGGCAGCAAAUGAUAGAAGACUGUCUCAGUUUUCACUGUAGAUUCUUUAUUGAGGAAAGUUAAUUCUCAAUGGGUUAUGUCAGCAACUGCAUGAAAUACAUAGAGCGAGACACAAAAACAACAUGAGGCAGUAUACAUCUCACUCUGUUGCCCAGGCUGGAAUGCAAUGGCACAAUCUCAACUCACUGCAACCACUGGCCCCAGGCUCAAUUGAUCCUCUGAGGCAAUAUAUCAUGUUACUUCCCAAAGCCUAUAAAUAUGAUCCAUAUUAAUGUCACUGUUAUCAGUGAGGUCUAACAUCUUUCUUUAUAAGACAAAUGUUGUAUCCCCUGAUAGUGAUGUUAAAAUAAAUAAUGAAAUCAACAUAUUAACAAUUAUAUUUGGUGUAUAAGACACUCAAACAACAACAGAAUUAAGGUUUAAAGAACAUUUUGAAAAAAUAUCUUAGCUAGCACUUGCAGUUCUGAUCAAGGAAUCUCAAUUUCAUACGAAAAUUCCUAUUAGUUUAGCUAGAGCUUCGUGACAUGUGGUGUGCAGACCAAAACACUGGACUAGGAAAAAAUAAAUUCUGUUUCUAAGGCUGGUUCUAAUGCUGCCACCAAUAGUCUAUGUGAUUAGAUCAUGACUAGUCUCUUUGUGCCUUUCUCCUAUUGUAAAAUGGCAGAGAGGGAGUUUGACACAUUCAAGUAGUCUUUCCAACGCAAUGCUUCCUAAAUUUAUGAAUCAUGAUGUUUACUGACAAAUGUCCUUCUUUGCAGCUGAAAUUAAAAUUUUUGGAUUUGUAAA